ACAUUAUUGAACCAGUCAAUUUGAAGUCACUUCUGGAUAAUAACAGUGAAGUCAAUCUUUGUAGUCCAAACCAUACAAGGGGUUGAUUUUUCUAUCACACAUUGUAUCUCACCAACUUGAGUUUGUAACUUUUUUGCUUGAAGUAUACGGGAAACUGAAGUACCUUGAGUUAUAAACUUUUAAUUGCAUUUAAAAGUUCGGGGGUAUGUUUUAAUCAUGGAAACUUGGACAGAAAAAAAAUUAAUAAUCAUCUUUCUACAUAAAGCAUACUAGUUUUUGAUUUUCUUUACUCUAGAUUUUACUCUUUCAUUUUUUCCCUUUGUAUUUACAUUGUAACUUCUGUAAAUAGAGUCAGUGAGCUGAGAGUUGUUGAACUCCUUGAUGGGCUUUGUGACAAGAUGCAAGAUUAUACUCUUGAGAAGGUAAACUCUUUCUUCAGGAUUGAUUUCCAUUUGUCUUUUUAUCUGUUCAUAUACAUGUGUCACAAUGUGCUCUGCGAGAUAUAUUUCAGGACAAUGAGAAAAGCAUUCCUUAGUAAAUUAUCUAAAACCCUCACAAUGUCACCAUAGACUUUUGCCGGUCUUUCAUAGAUAAGCAAUCAUUUGUAAAAGAAUGUAUAUGAACAGUACAUAUUUUGGCGUUCGGCCGUUCGUACAUUAUUUGGCGUUUGUGCAUUAAUUGCCGCCUACAUUGUCUGUCAUUGGUGGAAAUUUACUUCGAUUUGAGUUGAAUUUCACAAAACAUACAUCUCAUAUAUAUUUUGAUGCUUGGGUCUCCUGUUUGCAGAAAGAUUCGACUAGACAAGUUUGGAUCAAAGUAGAUGACUGGGAUAACCUCACUGCCAGUAUGUGCAUGCCUUCUUCAUUGAAUUAGCGUGUCUUGUUUUUUUGCUAAGAUGGUUCCAUAAACUUAUAACUACAUUUUCCAUAUACCACUCCUUUCAUAGUAAUAAGUGUCUCAUUUCCUUCAACAUGUUUUCCCAUUAUAUCUGUACAAAUAGCAUUAUCUUCAUAGAUUAGUUAUAACUUAUCACACAAUAAUCUAGUGUAUCCGAUCUGAUUCCUUACUAUGACACAGUUUUCUUUAGACUUUCAUGAUAAGUAACUUUGCUAUUAAAUAAAAUUUUCAACCAAAAGAGAGAGAAAGGGAAAAUGAGUAGUGAUGUGCUAAUUUCCACAUAAUAUAUGUUUCUCCUGAAAUUUUUGUUAUAAUUUUUUUUGGAUAAAUUGGUUCUAGAAGAUUCAUGAUGAAAUAUUUGAUAUCUCCAUUUAAGCCUCUGCAGAAAAAUCAAAAUCUUCUAAUUGACAUUAAUAUGUAACUUUUCUAGAGGUCGGAAGAGAGAAACCUGGCACCUAUUGUAAUUAAGUAUGUAUUUGUAUCAAAGUUUAUCAGUAGGGAAUGUGAAAUUAGCAUCUUAUAUAUAGUCUAGACCUAGAGACAGAAUCAUUGUUCUAAAUUGUGUUUGAGGCGCACGCCUCGAGGCACGCCUCAUAGCGAGGCAACAGGUUGCUGGUGCGAGGCUUACGCCUCACAAGGAAAAACAGAUGCUAGUGCCUCUUUUGGCUGAGGCUUACGCCUCAGUGCGUUGCGCCUCAAGGCGGUCCAAGGCGUGGGCCUUGAUUUGAAGUGGAAAAAAAACCCUUAGUAUGAAACACGAACUGCGACUUCUUCUUGCGACUUCAGUUCGCGGCUUCAGUUAGUGACUUCGUGCGACUUUUUCUUCCUCUGUCAUCUUCUUCUUACUCUUUCUCUGUUUUCUUAUUCUUCCUCUGUCUUCGAUUUUUUUAAGUCUAUCAACAAAGUUGUUUCAUUAUACUAUUCUUAUAUUUAACUACUAUAAUUCAUUUUUAAAAAGGGUUUUAUUUUUAUUUUUUAAAAUUAAUUUAUAUGAAAAUUUUAAAUUAAUAGAAAUGCAUUUAAUUUAAUUAUUACAGCUGCCAAUUCACAAAUUAAAUAAAAAGUACUAUAUACGAUUUGUUAUUUUUAAAGCUUGUGAAUCUGUCAAUUUUAAAAAUUAAAAUAAGAGUAUUUUUGUGAAACAUAAGAAGUAUUUAACUAACUACUUAAUAAAAUUAAAAUAAACAAAAAUAAAAUUAUGCUCAUAAGAUAUUUAACAUUUGUAAAUAGAAGUAUUAUUUUUGUGGAACAGAUACAAUAUCCUAUAGUUAACAUGGAAUAAUUUGGGUCAAAUAUUAAAUUUAAAUGAAAUCGUAUUAUAUCAAUACUCAAUUUAUUAUUUUAAUAAUAUUUUUUAAGUCAUUUAUACAACAAUAAUUAUAAUUAGAAAUAAUAUUAAGAGUUACCUCACUGAUUUAAAUUCCCUUCUCUCCCCCAACAAUCCGUCUCCAAAACCAACUUUCCUUAAUUCCUCCUUAUUCUUCUUCCUCAUAUUUAUAAUAUACCCUUGACCUUCAGAAUCAAAAUUAGAACCGAUCUAUCCCAUGGUUACUUUAUAAUGAUGGGUUAUUUUAUGAUAUUAUUAGCAUUUUUUUAUAAUUUUUUGGGGACUUUUAUGUUUGCAAAUCGAAGCUUACGCCUCGUCUCGUCCCGUCCGGAGAAAAACGCGUCGUACCGCUUUUAGCUUUUUCGAACAUUGGACAGAAUGAGGGUAUUACGAAACCAAGUACUCUUACCUUUGAGUUUGACAGAUCUCCUAAGACUACAAUAGGUUUUUUUUGUUGUUGUUGAUAAAACUAAGAACUAUAGUAGAUUAUUGGGCGUUAAGUAUAAAUAUAAUUAUUUUGUAUAUAAGUCUAGUUUUUUGAGCCAGUGUGAGAGAAAGUUUUCUGAUUUUCAUAUUCUUCUUUUUAUUGUACUUGGGGUGAGGGGAUGUGCAGCUUCAUGCUUUAUUUUACGGUGGGUGCAUGAUGAUUAUAGUGUUUUCUGUUGCCAUUCGACUAAUUGUAUUAAUGAUAAAAGAAAAAACUAAUAGUUAUUAAAUAUCAUCCAAUAUUCCUGAUGUGAUAAAAAUAUGUAACUGCAAGUGCACAGUGUCUAAUUGAAGAACUGACAAGUAUAGGUCGAACCCACAGAGACUAGAUUAAUUCUUUAAUAUAUCCUUAUUUAAUAUUUUAGGCAAAUUAGAAAUAAAUAUGGUGGAGAGAAUUUAUUAACUAAAUUAUGCAAACUAUUAAUUAAUAACGGAAACUAUUAAUGAGAAAAGAUACCUAGGAAUCAGAAUCCACCAAAUAUUAACAUAAUAAAUAAUUUCUUAUUUUCUAAAUCAAUUCCCAAAUUAUUCUCCCUUCCCUUUAAAAAUAAUGAUUCAUAUAAUUAAUAUGGGCAAGCAUAAGUUAUGAAAAAUUCACAGAUUAACUAUAACUUAUCAAAACCUCGCAAUCAAUAUAAAAAUCAUAUGCAAUUUAUGCGGAGGAAAAUAUGAAGGCGAAAAUAAUUAGGCAUUAAUUAUGGAACGGAAAGAAAAUAUAAUUAUGAAAUACUUAGUUUCAUCAUAAUCCUAGGUAUUAGAAAUUUAGCUAGCCAUGGAAUUAAAAACAAAAACAAAUAAUAUUAGUACUACAAUUCGCAUGAAAUAAGAACAAUAAUUAAAAAGAGAAUUUCUAUUAUAUAAAUAAAAGAAAGUUACAAAUACUCCCUGACAGUAUGUUCCACACGUGAUUGGAAUAAGAGAGACAAACUCUAAAUAUCUUCUCACUCCUACACUAGUGAAAAACUAAGAAAAAUAAAAUAACAAGUGAUCCUUUCUCUCUAAAACAAGAGGCCUAUUUAUAGGGAAAAUAACUUUGAACCCUAAUUUAGAUUCAUUGAACUUGGACACUUUGGUUCCCUUUCCAUGUAGGAUUCAACUUCCUAGUGGCAAUCAACUUCUCAAGAAGAUCUUCUAGAUAGACUUUCCUUUCUCUUGUUGGAUUUGACUUUCACACCAAUAUUGUUCCACCUCUUUCCUUCUCCUUGUAGAAUUCUUCUUGAAUAUUCCUUGUAUGAAUAAAAGCAUUAAAUAUCCCUUGAUCACCAAGAUUUUGACUUUAUUGCAACAAUUAUUAAAUCCUACAAAAUAAAAUAAAACAUAUUAAUUUAAUAAACUAAUAUAAUUAAAAGGACAAAAUUAGGGAUAACAAAAUGUAUGAAUUACGUGUUUAUCAAAUACUCCCAUACCUAGCUUUUGCUCUU
RNAcentral lists this long non-coding RNA (4131 nucleotides) under Panax ginseng (ginseng). Its description in RNAcentral is "long non-coding RNA (PGIN_LNC018158)". Lineage: Eukaryota; Viridiplantae; Streptophyta; Magnoliopsida; Apiales; Araliaceae. The record is from RNAcentral.